GUGGGGAAUAUUGGACAAUGGGCGCAAGCCUGAUCCAGCAAUGCCACGUGUGUGAAGAAGGCCUUCGGGUUGUAAAGCACUUUUGGCAGGAAAGAAAUAGCGCGUGCUAAUACCAUGCGCGAAUGACGGUACCUGCAGAAUAAGCACCGGCUAACUACGUGCCAGCAGCCGCGGUAAGACGUAGGGUGCAAGCGUUAAUCGGAAUUACUGGGCGUAAAGCGUGCGCAGGCGGUUUUGUAAGACAGGUGUGAAAUCCCCGGGCUCAACCUGGGAACUGCACUUGGGACUGCAAGGCUAGAGUGUGUCAGAGGGAGGUGGAAUUCCGCGUGUAGCAGUGAAAUGCGUAGAGAUGCGGAGGAACACCGAUGGCGAAGGCAGCCUCCUGGGAUAACACUGACGCUCAGGCACGAAAGCGUGGGGAGCAAACAGGAUUAGAAACCCGGGUAGUCC
Molecule: ribosomal RNA, 450 nt
Filed under: uncultured bacterium
Lineage: Bacteria
Description: partial 16S ribosomal RNA
Rfam family: Bacterial small subunit ribosomal RNA
Source: RNAcentral